GAUGAACGCUGGCGGCGUGCCUAAUACAUGCAAGUCGAGCGAACGGACGAGAAGCUUGCUUCUCUGAUGUUAGCGGCGGACGGGUGAGUAACACGUGGAUAACCUACCUAUAAGACUGGGAUAACUUCGGGAAACCGGAGCUAAUACCGGAUAAUAUUUUGAACCGCAUGGUUCAAAAGUGAAAGACGGUCCUGCUGUCACUUAUAGAUGGAUCCGCGCUGCAUUAGCUAGUUGGUAAGGUAACGGCUUACCAAGGCAACGAUGCAUAGCCGACCUGAGAGGGUGAUCGGCCACACUGGAACUGAGACACGGUCCAGACUCCUACGGGAGGCAGCAGUAGGGACUCUUCCGCAAUGGGCGAAAGCCUGACGGCGCAACGCCGCGUGAGUGAUGAAGGUCUUCGGAUCGUAAAACUCUGUUAUUAGGGAAGAACAUAUGUGUAAGUAACUGUGCACAUCUUGACGGUACCUAAUCAGAAAGCCACGGCUAACUACGUG
Molecule: ribosomal RNA, 497 nt
Filed under: uncultured bacterium
Lineage: Bacteria
Description: partial 16S ribosomal RNA
Rfam family: Bacterial small subunit ribosomal RNA
Source: RNAcentral